Molecule: long non-coding RNA, 1310 nt
Organism: Sphaeramia orbicularis (orbiculate cardinalfish)
Lineage: Eukaryota; Metazoa; Chordata; Actinopteri; Kurtiformes; Apogonidae
Exons: 2
Source: RefSeq, a predicted model, not a curated record
UCCAUUUACCGUACCCAGUUCAAGUUUUCAAACUUAAUUUAAGUCAAAUUCUAAGUCAUUGUAAACCCAUGUUUCCCCUAUGAAGACAUUAUACAGUACAAAUAUAACAAAAUACCCACCAAAAUAUGCCUAAACAGUAUGCUGACAGGGUGUAGUGCAUAUGUAGUCCAACACAAAGGUCCUGGAUCAAAAUGUGUGGAAGAUCAAAUAUGUGUAGUGCCAUACAACAGCUCAAACGGAAUUUACUGAGUAUUUCAGGGCCAUUGUUUUGUAUUGUAUUUAUAUUAUUAAACAUAUUUAUUGUAAUGUCAUUAAUAGUAGUUAGAGUUCUGAAAAGAACUUAGUGAUACUGCGUGGACCCCUCAAAGUGUAUUAUCCCUUUUGUACCAUCGCUGCAUAUCAGUAUUUACUCUUUAUUUUCUGAGUUGUAACUACUUCAUCAUGCCAUGACACAUAUGAAGAUAGGUGUUGUGUACAGUGUAUAUCGUAUACUGUGAUACUCAUAUUAUGUUUUUGUGAAUUAUUUAAUGGUGGUUCAGAGCUUAGCUGCGUUAAUAAAGCAAGUGACAUGUAUUCAUGAUUAAGUUGUCAUGUAUGGAGAGAACACUGUGGUACAUAGCUCAGAUUACAGUUAAAAAAUCUAAUAUCCUAUGAUUUUACUAUGAAGUUAAAACUAUCAAAUGAAUAAAGCGUUUUACAUGUGGUAAAUAUUAGUGCCUCCGUCCCCAAGGCAGCUGUUUUGAAGUGGAUGACUCACUAAGGCCAUGGUAUAUUAUGGGAAUAGUCCUUUGAUGUCCACACCUACUUUAAAUGCCGAUUAAUGACUGCACAACUCAUGUUUCUAAGCUGUAUUUGUCUGGCUUUGUACAUGAAUAUUUUAUAAUGUAGUUGCACGGCUGCUUUAUAUAAAUGCUUCUGCUGUACAUUUCUGGCAGAGAUCAAAUUGGAAGCUUUGAAGCUCAAGGCAGAUGCUUACUUAGGUGUAAGCACGCUUGUAAUCCUUUAAGAAAAACAUAACUUAAUGCCAUCAUACCUUCAUUUGUUAUGUAGAACACUAUCCCAGGUCAGAAUACAGUAAUUUGCAACAAAUAAAUUCAACACAGUAGUCAAAACUGUUCUAACAUUAGUCAUAAUACACAUAAUGUAUUGUCAUUUCUGUAGCUCCCCAGUUUGAUCACCGUCAUAGACCUCUCUUUGCUGACUUGUACGUCUUGUUUUAAACAUGCUAAGCCUAUGUCCUGCUGCUGUUUGGUUACAUAAUCCAGAUAAUUAAAAUGACUGUUCUAUGGCUACAUCUGCUUAUUGGAAGU